CCUACGGGGGUCUGCAGUGGGGAAUAUUGGACAAUGGGCGAAAGCCUGAUCCAGCCAUGCCGCGUGUGUGAAGAAGGCCUUCGGGUUGUAAAGCACUUUCAGUGGGGAAGAAAGCCUUGGGGCUAAUACCCUCGAGGAAGGACAUCACCCACAGAAGAAGCACCGGCUAACUCCGUGCCAGCAGCCGCGGUAAUACGGAGGGUGCGAGCGUUAAUCGGAAUUACUGGGCGUAAAGCGCGCGUAGGCGGUCUGAUAAGCCGGUUGUGAAAGCCCCGGGCUCAACCUGGGAACGGCAUCCGGAACUGUCAGGCUAGAGUGCAGGAGAGGAAGGUAGAAUUCCCGGUGUAGCGGUGAAAUGCGUAGAGAUCGGGAGGAAUACCAGUGGCGAAGGCGGCCUUCUGGACUGACACUGACGCUGAGGUGCGAAAGCGUGGGUAGCAAACAGGAUUAGAUACCCGGGUAGUC
RNAcentral lists this ribosomal RNA (465 nucleotides) under Vreelandella stevensii. RNAcentral's name for it is "partial 16S ribosomal RNA". It matches the Rfam family "Bacterial small subunit ribosomal RNA", at positions 338 to 795 of the family's 1533-position model. Lineage: Bacteria; Pseudomonadati; Pseudomonadota; Gammaproteobacteria; Oceanospirillales; Halomonadaceae. The record is from RNAcentral.